AUUUCUAAGCCUGCUAAAAAUUUGAUUCUUUAUUUACUAGGUUUGAAUAACCUUGACUGACUGCAUUCGAUUGUGAAAGAGAGAAAAGGAAAAGAAUGACAUCCUGGAAAUAUAUAUUAUCAAGCAUCUAUCUCACAGGGUGGAUGGAAGAGUGUGAGAUGGUGGAGACGUGACAUCGAAGUAGCCUACAUUGCGACUCACUGCGCUGAGCCGUCUGCCAGACCCAGGUGGACAUCAUCACUCACUGGAAGGAAACUCUGCUGCACAGAUCCAUUCGGAUGAAGAAUAACGGGCCUUUCCCCAUCGUGUGAUGCUGCCGUCUCAAGGUGGAGCUGCACAAGGGGAAGAAAGAGCAUGGACAGUUCCUACCACUCUUAACUGCCUUCGGUCCAUUUGCCAGAACCAGUCACUAGGCCAGGGCAAUAGCAGGAGAGGACAGAAAAGGCAGAGACGCCCAAG
Non-coding RNA from Sus scrofa (pig), 459 nucleotides. NCBI's taxonomy places the organism in Eukaryota, Metazoa, Chordata, Mammalia, Artiodactyla, Suidae. The record is from RefSeq and is a predicted model, not a curated record.